This is a long non-coding RNA of Mustela lutreola (European mink), 609 nucleotides long. RefSeq lists it as uncharacterized. The record is from RefSeq and is a predicted model, not a curated record. The transcript has 3 exons. Lineage: Eukaryota; Metazoa; Chordata; Mammalia; Carnivora; Mustelidae.
AGGUCAUGUGUGAUUAGGAUUUCAGUGACACCACUACAUCACUAAUUUUACCAUCUUGCCAAUUCAAGGAGGAAAAAGGCAGAGAAGCCAGGAGGCUGACGAGCCCAACUCACCGCCUAUGUGGAACACACCAUCAUCACUCCGCUUCAGCACAACAUGCUCCAUGGCCAGAGUGAUGGGGACAGGGCCUGGAGAUGUUGGAUAGAUGGGAGGGAUAUCAUCCUGCAGGAAAGAGGGAAACCACACGAUGCCCCCAACCAGCUCAGGAAAAUUCAGCACAAAUACCAAAGGAUUGAAUGUGAAUGACAGAAGUUCCCUGAUCAGAUAUAGUUGGAUGUCAGCAGCUACGCAAAUGAAGAGGACAGUGGCCUACUGAAUAAGCUUAAGGAGCACCUGGGAAGUGAAGAUGGCGAAUAGCCUACUGAAGGCAAAGCCCCAGAAGGAGUUCUGGGAGGUUCCCUGCAAGAAGGAGGCUUCACUGGAGUUCUUCCUCCUAAUGGCUCCAGGAGAGAAGGACCAUGGGCUUGGCACUAGGACAGCUACGGUCAGGGCCCAGUGACAGGAGCAAGAAGCUACAGCUGCCCCAGAUAAAUCCCAGCAUCCUCACCU